AACAGUUGAGGGGAACGCUGUCUGGUUCGAGACCACUCGCUUCAAGUACAGACAUAAUCUGAAUGAUCUCGGACCAGGCUUCAUUCCCCCCAACUCAACA
This 100-nucleotide microRNA precursor is filed under the name Vitis vinifera (wine grape). Its description in RNAcentral is "miR166h stem-loop (vvi-MIR166h)". Its record names the gene vvi-MIR166h. It matches the Rfam family "mir-166 microRNA precursor family". From Rfam's summary of the family: This family represents the plant microRNA (miRNA) precursor mir-166. Animal miRNAs are transcribed as ~70nt precursors and subsequently processed by the Dicer enzyme to give a ~22nt product. Lineage: Eukaryota; Viridiplantae; Streptophyta; Magnoliopsida; Vitales; Vitaceae. The record is from miRBase by way of RNAcentral.